GAGGUUGUGGUUCAAAGGUAGAGCACUCACCUACCAUGUUUGAGGCACUGAGUUCAAUCCUCAGCACCACA
This 71-nucleotide transfer RNA is filed under the name Marmota monax (woodchuck). RNAcentral's name for it is "tRNA.Gly". Lineage: Eukaryota; Metazoa; Chordata; Mammalia; Rodentia; Sciuridae. The record is from RNAcentral.